UGGAUCCAGACUUUGAUUAUGGCUCAGGACGAACGCUGGCGGCGUGCCUAACACAUGCAAGUCGAACGGAGCUCCGCCCUUCGGGACGGAACUUAGUGGCGAACGGGUGAGUAACGCGUGAAGAACCUGCCUUCCAGUGGGGGACAACAGUUGGAAACGAUUGCUAAUACCGCAUGAUGCUUUCGAGGGGCAUCCCUUGAAAGUCAAAGCUUUAAGUGCUGGAAGAUGGCUUCGCGUCUGAUUAGCUAGUUGGCGGGGUAACGGCCCACCAAGGCGACGAUCAGUAGCCGGUCUGAGAGGAUGAACGGCCACAUUGGGACUGAGAUACGGCCCAGACUCCUACGGGAGGCAGCAGUGGGGAAUAUUGGGCAAUGGGCGAAAGCCUGACCCAGCAACGCCGCGUGAAGGAAGAAGGCCUUCGGGUUGUAAACUUCUUUUACCAGGGACGAAGGACGUGACGGUACCUGGAGAAGAAGCAACGGCUAACUACGUGCCAGCAGCCGCGGUAAUACGUAGGUUGCAAGCGUUGUCCGGAUUUACUGGGUGUAAAGGGCGUGUAGGCGGAGGCGCAAGUUGGGAGUGAAAUCUAUGGGCUCAACCCAUAAACUGCUCUCAAAACUGUGUCCCUUGAGUAUCGGAGAGGCAAGCGGAAUUCCUAGUGUAGCGGUGAAAUGCGUAGAUAUUAGGAGGAACACCAGUGGCGAAGGCGGCUUGCUGGACGACAACUGACGCUGAGGCGCGAAAGCGUGGGGAGCAAACAGGAUUAGAUACCCUGGUAGUCCACGCUGUAAACGAUGAAUACUAGGUGUGGGAGGACUGACCCCUUCCGUGCCGCAGUUAACACAAUAAGUAUUCCACCUGGGGAGUACGACCGCAAGGUUGCAACUCAAA
This 891-nucleotide ribosomal RNA is filed under the name uncultured Bacillota bacterium. RNAcentral's name for it is "bacterial SSU rRNA". It matches the Rfam family "Bacterial small subunit ribosomal RNA", at positions 1 to 905 of the family's 1533-position model. The record is from RNAcentral. Lineage: Bacteria; Bacillati; Bacillota.